This 486-nucleotide ribosomal RNA is filed under the name uncultured bacterium. Its description in RNAcentral is "partial 16S ribosomal RNA". It matches the Rfam family "Bacterial small subunit ribosomal RNA", at positions 28 to 507 of the family's 1533-position model. The record is from RNAcentral.
GAUGAACGCUGGCGGCGUGCCUAAUACAUGCAAGUCGAACGCUGGAGAUCUAGCUUGCUAGAUCGAAGGAGUGGCGAACGGGUGAGUAAUACAUAAGCAACCUACCCACGAAGACUGGGAUAAUCUCUGGAAACGGGGACUAAUACCGGAUAGGUAAUCGGAAGGCAUCUUCUGGUUAUUAAAGGUUAAAAACACUGGUGGAUGGGCUUAUGGCGCAUUAGUUAGUUGGUGAGGUAACGGCCCACCAAGACGAUGAUGCGUAGCCGGCCUGAGAGGGUGAACGGCCACAUUGUGACUGGGACACGGCCCAGACUCCUACGGGAGGCAGCAGUAGGGAAUUUUCGGCAAUGGGGGCAACCCUGACCGGGCCACGCCGCGUGAGUGAAGACGGCCUUCGGGUUGUAAAGCUCUGUUGUAAGGGAAGAACGGUAGAUAGAGAAUAUCUAAGUGACGGUACCUUACCAGAAAGCCACGGCUAACUACGUG